RNAcentral lists this ribosomal RNA (1529 nucleotides) under Gambelia wislizenii (Longnose leopard lizard). Its description in RNAcentral is "16S rRNA". It matches the Rfam family "Bacterial large subunit ribosomal RNA". The record is from RNAcentral. Lineage: Eukaryota; Metazoa; Chordata; Lepidosauria; Squamata; Crotaphytidae.
GCCAAAAUUAGCCCAACCACCAAUACUAACUGACACAAUAAAAAACAAAUCAUUUGACAAGACUAGUAGAAGUGAUCAAAAAUCAUCUAAGGAGCUAUAAUGACAGUACCGUAAGGGAAAAAAUGAAAGAAUAAUGAAACAUAUAAGCAAAAAACAGCAGAGACCAGCCCUCGUACCUCUUGCAUCAUGGUCUAGCGAGAAUCAUACAGACACACUGACUACUAGCCUGUACUCCCGAACUCAAGUGAGCUACUUCAGAGCAGCUAACAUGAGCGAACCCGUCCCUGUAGCAAAAGGGUGGGAUGACUCAGAAGUAGAGGUGAAAAGCCUACCGAACUUGAUGAUAGCUGGUUGCCCGAUAAGUGAAUAUUAGUUCUACUUUAGAUUUAUGUAACACAACAGCUAGUGUAAAAUUAAUCUAAAAUUUACUCAAUGAGGGUACAGCUUCAUUGACACAGGAUACAACCUGAAAUAGAGAGCCAUUAUCCAACAUAUGAACCCGUAGGCCCUAAAGCAGCCACCAAAAAAGAAAGCGUCAUAGCACAUAAACCACAAAAAUACCCAACACAUAAAACUUCUCCUAACCCAAAUCGGGCUACCCCAUAACAAUAUGGAGGAACCAAUGCUAGAACUAGUAACAAGAAUAUUUUCUCUGCGCAUAACUGUAAAUCAGUAAUAGAAGAUCUACUGAACAUUAACAAACCUACAAAUGUAAACCAAACAUUUAACGAAUUGUUACCCCGACACAGGAAUGCCAAAAAGAAAGAUUAAAAGCCCAGGAAGGAACUCAGCAACCUUCAGCCCCAACUGUUUACCAAAAACAUAGCCUUUAGCCCUACAAGUAUUAAAGGUAACGCCUGCCCAGUGACACUGUUUAACGGCCGCGGUAUCCUAACCGUGCAAAGGUAGCGUAAUCACUUGUCCUCUAAAUAAGGACCAGUAUGAACGGCUAAAUGAGGGCUGACCUGUCUCCCAGGGCCAAUCAGUGAAACUGAUCUACCAGUACAAAAGCUGGUAUAAUAACAUAAGACGAGAAGACCCUGUGGAGCUUUAAAUCUACCCCAAGGCUUAUACUAAUAAACCAGCCAAAUGGAUUAAGACUUUAAGUUGGGGCGACUUCGGAAUAAAACAAAACUCCCGAGCAUAAAGAAAAUUUCUCUAACUGAGGCCUACACGCCAAAGCAAAUAUUGACCCAGUAUUACUGAUCAACGAACCAAGUUACCCCAGGGAUAACAGCGCCAUCUUCUUCGAGAGUCCAUAUCGACAAGAAGGUUUACGACCUCGAUGUUGGAUCAGGACACCCCAAUGGUGCAGCCGCUAUUAAAGGUUCGUUUGUUCAACGAUUAAUAGUCCUACGUGAUCUGAGUUCAGACCGGAGCAAUCCAGGUCGGUUUCUAUCUAUGUAACAGCUUUCUUUAGUACGAAAGGACCAAGAAAGCAGGACCAAUGUCAACAACACGUCCUCCACCAAAGGUUGAACCUAUCUCAAACCAACAACUAACCCAAUUAACUGAAGACAACAGACUUA